This 460-nucleotide ribosomal RNA is filed under the name uncultured bacterium. RNAcentral's name for it is "partial 16S ribosomal RNA". It matches the Rfam family "Bacterial small subunit ribosomal RNA", at positions 338 to 795 of the family's 1533-position model. The record is from RNAcentral.
CCUACGGGAGGCAGCAGUGAGGAAUAUUGGUCAAUGGGCGCGAGUCUGAACCAGCCAAGUAGCGUGAAGGAUGACUGCCCUACGGGUUGUAAACUUCUUUUAUAAAGGAAUAAAGUGAGGCACGUGUGCCUUUUUGUAUGUACUUUAUGAAUAAGGAUCGGCUAACUCCGUGCCAGCAGCCGCGGUAAUACGGAGGAUCCGAGCGUUAUCCGGAUUUAUUGGGUUUAAAGGGAGCGGAGAUGGGUUGUUAAGUCAGUUGUGAAAGUUUGCGGCUCAACCGUAAAAUUGCAAUUGAUACUGGCAGUCUGGAGUACAGGUGAGGUAGGCGGAAUGCGUGGUGUAGCGGUGAAAUGCAUAGAUAUCACGCAGAACUCCGAUUGCGAAGGCAGCAUACCGGAGCCCAACUGACGCUGAGGCACGAAAGCGUGGGUAUCGAACAGGAUUAGAUACCCGAGUAGUC